Molecule: ribosomal RNA, 402 nt
Filed under: uncultured bacterium
Lineage: Bacteria
Description: bacterial SSU rRNA
Rfam family: Bacterial small subunit ribosomal RNA
Source: RNAcentral
AUUGAACGCUGGCGGCAGGCCUAACACAUGCAAGUCGAGCGGCAGCACGGGUACUUGUACCUGGUGGCGAGCGGCGGACGGGUGAGUAAUGCCUAGGAAUCUGCCUGGUAGUGGGGGAUAACGCUCGGAAACGGACGCUAAUACCGCAUACGUCCUACGGGAGAAAGCAGGGGACCUUCGGGCCUUGCGCUAUCAGAUGAGCCUAGGUCGGAUUAGCUAGUUGGUGAGGUAAUGGCUCACCAAGGCGACGAUCCGUAACUGGUCUGAGAGGAUGAUCAGUCACACUGGAACUGAGACACGGUCCAGACUCCUACGGGAGGCAGCAGUGGGGAAUAUUGGACAAUGGGCGAAAGCCUGAUCCAGCCAUGCCGCGUGUGUGAAGAAGGUCUUCGGAUUGUAAAG